UCAAGAAACUUCCACAAUGGGCGAAAGCCUGAUGGAGCGACGUCGCGUGAUGGACGAAGUGCUUCGGCACGUAAACAUCUUUUAUGUGGGAUGAAAUUAUUGACAGUACCACAUGAAUAAGGGGCUCCUAACUCUGUGCCAGCAGGCGCGGUAAUACAGAGGCCCCAAGCGUUAUCCCGAAUCACUGGGCGUAAAGGGUGUCGAGGCGGUUGUAUUAGUCGUUCGUAAAAUCUACGAGCUUAACUUGUAGGCGGCGAACGAAACGGUACGACUUGAGGUUUGGAGAGGUGCGUGGAACUCACGGUGUAGGGGUGAAAUCCGUUGAUAUCGUGGGGAACACCAAAGGCGAAGGCAGCGCACUGGCCAAAAUCUGACGCUCACACACGAAAGCUAGGGUAGCGAAGAGGAUUAGAUACCCAUGUAGUCCUGAGCGGGCUGGCAAGGCGCAU
Molecule: ribosomal RNA, 449 nt
Filed under: uncultured bacterium
Lineage: Bacteria
Description: bacterial SSU rRNA
Rfam family: Bacterial small subunit ribosomal RNA
Source: RNAcentral